AAGAGUGCGUAAUAGCUCACUGGUCGAGAGACGCUGCGCCGAAAAUGUCCGGGGCUCAAGCACGGAACCGAAGCUAUGGCAUGAUAGCAAUAUCAUGGGUAGGGGAGCGUUCUUAUAAGGAAGAAGCAUGACCGGAAGGACAUGUGGACGAAUAAGAAGUGAGAAUGCCGGUAUGAGUAUCGAAAAGAAAGGUGAGAAUCCUUUCCACCGAAAGCCCGAGGGUUCCUGAGCAACGAUCGUCGACUCAGGGUAAGUCGGGACCUAAGCCGAGGCGAGAAGCGUAGGCGAUGGACAACAGGUUGAAAUUCCUGUACCGGAUCAAGUCGAUUGAGCGAAGGAGCGACGCAGGAGGGCACAUGAUCGCGCGGCUGGAAGAGCGCGUCCAAGUGCGUAUGUUGCAGCAGAGGAAAACCCCUGCAGCUGAAAGCAGAGACAUGAUGGGGAGUUAAAGGAAACUUUGACGAACUCAUGGAUCCCACACUGCCAAGAAAAACUUCUAGCGAGACAAGAUCCGCCCGUACCGUAAACCGACACAGGUAGGCGGGGAGAGAAUCCUAAGGUGCGCGGGAAAACCCUCGUUAAGGAACUCGGCAAAUUGCAUCCGUAACCUAGGGAGAAGGAUGGCCCCCGGUCAGUGAAGAGCAGAAACGCUCAGAGCUAAAAGGGGCGGCAGAAAAGAGGCCCAAGCAACUGUUUACCAAAAACACAGGUGCCUGCGAAAGCGAAAGCUGAAGUAUAGGUGCUGACGCCUGCCCGGUGCCGGAAGGUUAAGGAGAGAAGUUAGCGAAAGCGAAGCAUCGAACUGAAGCCCCGGUGAACGGCGGCCGUAACUAUAACGGUCCUAAGGUAGCGAAAUUCCUUGUCGGGUAAGUUCCGACCCGCAUGAAAGGCGUAAUGAUUUGGGCACUGUCUCAACGAGGGGCCCGGUGAAAUUGAAAUACCUGUGAAGAUGCAGGUUACCCGCGACUGGACAGAAAGACCCCAUGGAGCUUCACUGCAGCUUGAGAUUGAAUCCCGGUGACAGAUGCACAGGAUAGGUGGGAGGCGCCGAAGCAUUGCCCUAGGGCGGUGCGGAGCCGAUGUUGGGAUACCACCCUUCUGUUGCUGAGAUUCUAACGCGAGGAGUAACGACCCUGCGGACCCUCUCAGGCAGGCGGUUUGACUGGGGCGGUCGCCUCCGAAAGAGUAACGGAGGCGCC
Molecule: ribosomal RNA, 1199 nt
Filed under: human gut metagenome
Description: bacterial LSU rRNA
Rfam family: Bacterial large subunit ribosomal RNA
Source: RNAcentral